GCGGGUAUAGCUCAGUGACAGAGCGCUCCCUUAGCACGGGAGAGGGUUGUGGUUCAAUUCCUCAUACUCGAC
Molecule: transfer RNA, 72 nt
Filed under: Angiostrongylus costaricensis
Lineage: Eukaryota; Metazoa; Nematoda; Chromadorea; Rhabditida; Metastrongylidae
Rfam family: tRNA
About the family: Transfer RNA (tRNA) molecules are approximately 80 nucleotides in length. Their secondary structure includes four short double-helical elements and three loops (D, anti-codon, and T loops).
Source: Rfam by way of RNAcentral